RNAcentral lists this ribosomal RNA (203 nucleotides) under uncultured bacterium. RNAcentral's name for it is "partial 16S ribosomal RNA". It matches the Rfam family "Bacterial small subunit ribosomal RNA", at positions 524 to 725 of the family's 1533-position model. The record is from RNAcentral.
UACGGAGGGUGCGAGCGUUGUUCGGAAUCACUGGGCGUAAAGGGCGUGUAGGCGGUCCGCUAAGUCUGAUGUGAAAGCCCGGGGCUCACCCCCCGGAAGUGCAUUGGAAACUGGCGGACUCGAGUCCGGCAGAGGAGGGUGGAAUUCCUGGUGUAGCGGUGAAAUGCGUAGAUAUCAGGAGGAACACCGGUGGCGAAGGCGGC